AGUGCUGGAUUGGUUCCAAGUAAAAGGAUGGCGUAUGUAUCUAGCUCACUUUCUCUGAUAAACAGUACCUUUUACUGGAUAUUCUCCAAGUGUGGCAAAGUUUUAAAGGUUACUGUUAUGAAAGAAAAAGAAGAGGCCAGGUGUGGUGGCUCACACCUGUAAUCCCAACACUUUGUGGGGCUGAGGCGGGUGGAUUACUUGAGGUCAGGAAUUCAAGAUCAGCCUGACCAAUAUGGUGAAACCCUGUCUCUACUAAAAAAUACAAAAAAUUAGCUGGACAUGGUUGUGUGCACCUGUAGUCCCAGCUACUCAGGAAGCUGAGGCAAGAGAAUAGCUUGAACUCGAGAUUAUGCCACCGUACUCCAGCCUAGGUGACAGAGCAAGACUCAAUCUCAAAAAAAAAAAGGAAGAAUGGGGUCUGAGAGUUGGAUUUAUUUUCUUUUUGGAUAGGACUCUGCAUAAAACUAGACCAGGCCAUUAAACAGCCAACAGUUAUUUGGUCCAGUAACAAAAGCAAGCAUUGCUAUUGACAGCUAAAGAGCAGCUAAAUUCAUCUGAAGGUAAAACUCCUUGGAUGAAUUUGGGUCUAAUGAAUGUAGGGAAAAUAGACACUUAGUUUCUACCUAUCUUGAAAAUAUGCAUGGAGAAUCUGAACCACCACACAGGAAGAGAAAAAGAGAAGAGAGACAAUCCCC
RNAcentral lists this long non-coding RNA (695 nucleotides) under Homo sapiens (human). RNAcentral's name for it is "non-protein coding lnc-ACSBG1-6:1". Lineage: Eukaryota; Metazoa; Chordata; Mammalia; Primates; Hominidae. The record is from RNAcentral.